GCCCGGGUGGCUUAGUCGGUUGAGCGCCUGACUCUUGAUUUCGGCCCAGGUCAUGAUCUCACGGUGUGUGGGUUUGAGCCCCGCAUCGGGCU
RNAcentral lists this transfer RNA (92 nucleotides) under Felis catus (domestic cat). It matches the Rfam family "tRNA". From Rfam's summary of the family: Transfer RNA (tRNA) molecules are approximately 80 nucleotides in length. RNAcentral also lists the same sequence under 1 other name. The record is from Rfam by way of RNAcentral. Lineage: Eukaryota; Metazoa; Chordata; Mammalia; Carnivora; Felidae.